RNAcentral lists this ribosomal RNA (544 nucleotides) under uncultured bacterium. RNAcentral's name for it is "bacterial SSU rRNA". It matches the Rfam family "Bacterial small subunit ribosomal RNA", at positions 777 to 1320 of the family's 1533-position model. The record is from RNAcentral.
AAUAGAUACCCAGGUAGUCCACGCCGUAAACGAUGAGUGCUAAGUGUUGGGGGGUUUCCGCCCCUCAGUGCUGCAGCUAACGCAUUAAGCACUCCGCCUGGGGAGUACGGUCGCAAGACUGAAACUCAAAGGAAUUGACGGGGGCCCGCACAAGCGGUGGAGCAUGUGGUUUAAUUCGAAGCAACGCGAAGAACCUUACCAGGUCUUGACAUCCCGGUGACCACUAUGGAGACAUAGUUUCCCCUUCGGGGGCAACGGUGACAGGUGGUGCAUGGUUGUCGUCAGCUCGUGUCGUGAGAUGUUGGGUUAAGUCCCGCAACGAGCGCAACCCUUAUUCUUAGUUGCCAUCAUUCAGUUGGGCACUCUAAGGAGAUUGCCGGUGAUAAACCGGAGGAAGGUGGGGAUGACGUCAAAUCAUCAUGCCCCUUAUGACCUGGGCUACACACGUGCUACAAUGGACGGUACAAACGGUUGCCAACCCGCGAGGGGAGCUAAUCCGAUAAAACCGUUCUCAGUUCGGAUUGUAGGCUGCAACUCGCCUACA